UUCCUACGGGGGGCAGCAGUGAGGAAUAUUGGUCAAUGGCCGCAGGGCUGAACCAGCCAAGUCGCGUGAGGGAUGACGGUCCUAUGGAUUGUAAACCUCUUUUGCCGGGGAGCAACGGGCGUCACGUGUGGCGCCACUGAGAGUACCCGGAGAAAAAGCAUCGGCUAACUCCGUGCCAGCAGCCGCGGUAAUACGGAGGAUGCGAGCGUUAUCCGGAUUUAUUGGGUUUAAAGGGUGCGUAGGCGGAUCGUUAAGUCAGUGGUCAAAUUGAGGGGCUCAACCCCUUCCCGCCAUUGAAACUGGCG
RNAcentral lists this ribosomal RNA (305 nucleotides) under uncultured bacterium. Its description in RNAcentral is "bacterial SSU rRNA". It matches the Rfam family "Bacterial small subunit ribosomal RNA", at positions 336 to 638 of the family's 1533-position model. The record is from RNAcentral.